AGCAGCCGGCGGUAAUACGUAGGGUGCAAGCGUUGUCCGGAAUUAUUGGGCGUAAAGAGCUCGUAGGCGGUUUGUCGCGUCUGCUGUGAAAUCCCGAGGCUCAACCUCGGGGCUUGCAGUGGGUACGGGCAGACUAGAGUGCGGUAGGGGAGAUUGGAAUUCCUGGUGUAGCGGUGGAAUGCGCAGAUAUCAGGAGGAACACCGAUGGCGAAGGCAGAUCUCUGGGCCGUAACUGACGCUGAGGAGCGAAAGCAUGGGGAGCGAACAGGAUUAGAUACCCUGGUAGUCCAUGCCGUAAACGUUGGGCGCUAGAUGUAGGGACCUUUCCACGGUUUCUGUGUCGUAGCUAACGCAUUAAGCGCCCCGCCUGGGGAGUACGGCCGCAAGGCUAAAACUCAAAGGAAUUGACGGGGGCCCGCACAAGCGGCGGAGCAUGCGGAUUAAUUCGAUGCAACGCGAAGAACCUUACCAAGGCUUGACAUACACCGGAAACGGCCAGAGAUGGUCGCCCCCUUGUGGUCGGUGUACAGGUGGUGCAUGGUUGUCGUCAGCUCGUGUCGUGAGAUGUUGGGUUAAGUCCCGCAACGAGCGCAACCCUCGUUCUAUGUUGCCAGCGGGUUAUGCCGGGGACUCAUAGGAGACUGCCGGGGUCAACUCGGAGGAAGGUGGGGAUGACGUCAAAUCAUCAUGCCCCUUAUGUCUUGGGCUUCACGCAUGCUACAAUGGCCGGUACAAAGGGCUGCGAUACCGUAAGGUGGAGCGAAUCCCAAAAAGCCGGUCUCAGUUCGGAUUGAGGUCUGCAACUCGACCUCAUGAAGUCGGAGUCGCUAGUAAUCGCAGAUCAGCAACGCUGCGGUGAAUACGUUCCCGGGCUUUGUACACACCGCCCGUCAAGUCAUGAAAGUCGGUAACACC
This 915-nucleotide ribosomal RNA is filed under the name Curtobacterium flaccumfaciens. RNAcentral describes it as "bacterial SSU rRNA". It matches the Rfam family "Bacterial small subunit ribosomal RNA", at positions 510 to 1421 of the family's 1533-position model. The record is from RNAcentral. Lineage: Bacteria; Bacillati; Actinomycetota; Actinomycetes; Micrococcales; Microbacteriaceae.